UAGUGAGUUUGAUCCUGGCUCAGGAUGAACGCUGGCGGUCUGCUUAACACAUGCAAGUCGAACGCAAGUAGAAAUACUUGAGUGGCGGACGGGUGAGUAACGCGUGAGAAGUCUGCCUUCUGGUCGGGGGACAACCACUGGAAACCGGUGGCUAAUACCGGAUAUGCCUAUGGGUUGAAAGAUUAAUUGCCAGAAGAAGAGCUCGCGUCUGAUUAGCUAGUUGGAGAGGUAAAGGCUCACCAAGGCAUCGAUCAGUAGCUGGUCUGAGAGGACGAUCAGCCAC
Molecule: ribosomal RNA, 283 nt
Filed under: uncultured bacterium
Lineage: Bacteria
Description: partial 16S ribosomal RNA
Rfam family: Bacterial small subunit ribosomal RNA
Source: RNAcentral